RNAcentral lists this unclassified non-coding RNA (336 nucleotides) under soil metagenome. RNAcentral's name for it is "partial contains 5.8S ribosomal RNA, internal transcribed spacer 2, and large subunit ribosomal RNA". The stretch from base 1 to 120 matches the Rfam family "5.8S ribosomal RNA", at positions 35 to 154 of the family's 154-position model. The record is from RNAcentral.
GAUGAAGAACGCAGCGAAAUGCGAUAAGUAAUGUGAAUUGCAGAAUUCAGUGAAUCAUCGAAUCUUUGAACGCACAUUGCGCCCGCCAGUAUUCUGGCGGGCAUGCCUGUUCGAGCGUCAUUUCAACCAUCAAGCCCCCGGCUUGUGUUGGCGACCUGCGGCUGCCGCAGGCCCUGAAAAGCAGUGGCGGGCUCGCUGUCACACCGAGCGUAGUAGCAUACAUCUCGCUCUGGGCGUGCUGCGGGUUCCGGCCGUUAAACCACCUUCAUAACCCAAGGUUGACCUCGGAUCAGGUAGGAAGACCCGCUGAACUUAAGCAUAUCAAUAAGCGGAGGA